AAGUCGUAACAAGGUUUCCGUAGGUGAACCUGCGGAAGGAUCAUUACCUUUCAAUACUGAAAAGGGGGUUGAGGUAGGUUUACCUGCUCUCACCCUCUGCUUCAAGUAUUAUCACCCUUGAUUUUCUGCGUACUUAUGUUUCCUCGGCAGGCUUGCCUGCCGAAUGGACAAUCUUAUAACCUAUUUAAUUUUCAAUCAGCGUCUGAAAUAAUUUAAUAAUUACAA
Molecule: unclassified non-coding RNA, 225 nt
Filed under: plant metagenome
Description: partial contains small subunit ribosomal RNA and internal transcribed spacer 1
Rfam family: Eukaryotic small subunit ribosomal RNA (bases 1-46)
Source: RNAcentral